Molecule: ribosomal RNA, 431 nt
Filed under: uncultured bacterium
Lineage: Bacteria
Description: partial 16S ribosomal RNA
Rfam family: Bacterial small subunit ribosomal RNA
Source: RNAcentral
AACGAACGCUGGCGGCAGGCCUAACACAUGCAAGUCGAGCGCCCCGCCAGGGGAGCGGCGGACGGGUGCGUAACGCGUGGGAACGUACCCUUUGCUACGGAAUAGCCUCGGGAAACUGGGAGUAAUACCGUAUGUGUCCUUCGGGAGAAAGAUUUAUCGGCAAGGGAUCGGCCCGCGUUGGAUUAGGUAGUUGGUGGGGUAAUGGCCUACCAAGCCGACGAUCCAUAGCUGGUUUGAGAGGAUGAUCAGCCACACUGGGACUGAGACACGGCCCAGACUCCUACGGGAGGCAGCAGUGGGGAAUCUUAGACAAUGGGCGCAAGCCUGAUCGAGCCAUGCCGCGUGAGCGAUGAAGGCCUUAGGGUUGUAAAGCUCUUUCAGGGGGGAAGAUAAUGACUGUACCCCCAGAAGAAGCCCCGGCUAACUCCGUG